Molecule: transfer RNA, 69 nt
Filed under: Marmota monax (woodchuck)
Lineage: Eukaryota; Metazoa; Chordata; Mammalia; Rodentia; Sciuridae
Description: tRNA.Val
Source: RNAcentral
GGGGUUAUGGCUCAGAGGUAGGGCGCUCGCCUAACAUGUGUGAGGCAUUGGGUUUGAUCCUUAGCACCA